This 253-nucleotide ribosomal RNA is filed under the name uncultured bacterium. RNAcentral's name for it is "partial 16S ribosomal RNA". It matches the Rfam family "Bacterial small subunit ribosomal RNA", at positions 524 to 776 of the family's 1533-position model. The record is from RNAcentral.
UACAGAGGGUGCAAGCGUUAAUCGGAAUUACUGGGCGUAAAGGGCGCGUAGGCGGUUUUGUAAGUUAGAUGUGAAAUCCCCGGGCUUAACCUGGGAACUGCAUUUAAUACUGCAAGGCUAGAGUAGAAGAGAGGGAAGUGGAAUUUCCGGUGUAGCGGUGAAAUGCGUAGAUAUCGGAAAGAACACCAGUGGCGAAGGCGACUUCCUGGCUUCAUACUGACGCUGAGGCGCGAAAGCAUGGGUAGCAAACAGG